AAAUAAUAAUUUAAUCGAUUUAUCGUUUUGUCGGUUUGCGUGCCUUUUGCAUCAUGCUAUUCUUAAGUUUUGGCUUAUGCCUUUAACCGAAAAGUCCAGAUCUUCGGGCAUGUUGUUAAGCACUAAAGGUGGGUCACUCGUUAAACAUGCCCGAUGUGGUGAUAAAUUAGUCGUUGGACUGUAUAGCUGUUUUAUGGGUUAUUUUUUCUUUUUACUACAGCAGUGAUGAGAUUGCUGUAGCGUCUAUAUCGUUUAUUAUGUGUGGUAUUACUUGGGUUAGGGUUACCCGUGUAUCGUUGAUUAUGUUACUAUCUCCCACAACUAAUGUAAGUGAUUAGCACUCGUUCCCAUAUUAUUAAAUUUUACUGAGUUAUUUAUGGUUUAACUAGUAAUUAUAACAUCUGUAAUUUUUCUCGAGCCGGGCCCAACUGUUUAUUAAAAACAUUUCUGCCCGAUUUAUUAUUGGCAGUAGUACCUGCCCGGUGUUUGUAUUAACGGCCGCAGUAUUAUGACUGUGCGAGGUAGCAUAAUUAAUUGCCCCAUAAUUGGGGGCUUGUUUGAAUGGUUUAAUGAGGCCCGUGCUAAAAUUACAGUUUUUUGUGAACCUAAUUCUGUGAGUACAGAAUCUACAGUGGUUAGUUAGACGGAAAGACCCCAGGAUCUUCAUUUUUGUCUGGGGCAGAUUGGGCUACUUCAGCCUAUUUGUGACCCUCUGAUUAGAGAUUUAAGUUACCCUGGGGAUAACAGAGUAAUAGUUUAUUAGAGCCCCUAUCGAUUAAACUGAUUGCUACCUCGAUGUUGACUUGGGUUAACCCAGCGGCGCAGUCGUUGCUGGGCGUGGUCUGUUCGACCAAAUCAACCCUCAUGAGUUGAGUUAAGACCGGCGUAAGCCAGGUCGGUUCUUAUCUACUGGUGUAGUUAGUCAGUACGAAAGGACCGCUAGCUGUUUUAUU
This 953-nucleotide ribosomal RNA is filed under the name Parabreviscolex niepini. RNAcentral describes it as "16S ribosomal RNA". It matches the Rfam family "Bacterial large subunit ribosomal RNA", at positions 576 to 2708 of the family's 2925-position model. Lineage: Eukaryota; Metazoa; Platyhelminthes; Cestoda; Caryophyllidea; Caryophyllaeidae. The record is from RNAcentral.